RNAcentral lists this ribosomal RNA (301 nucleotides) under uncultured bacterium. RNAcentral's name for it is "partial 16S ribosomal RNA". It matches the Rfam family "Bacterial small subunit ribosomal RNA", at positions 509 to 809 of the family's 1533-position model. The record is from RNAcentral.
CAGUCGCCACGGUAAUACGUAGGUGGCAAGCGUUAUCCGGAAUUAUUGGGCGUAAAGCGCGCGUAGGCGGUUUUUUAAGUCUGAUGUGAAAGCCCACGGCUCAACCGUGGAGGGUCAUUGGAAACUGGAAAACUUGAGUGCAGAAGAGGAAAGUGGAAUUCCAUGUGUAGCGGUGAAAUGCGCAGAGAUAUGGAGGAACACCAGUGGCGAAGGCGACUUUCUGGUCUGUAACUGACGCUGAUGUGCGAAAGCGUGGGGAUCAAACAGGAUUAGAUACCCCUGUAGUCCCUGUCUCUUAUAA